RNAcentral lists this ribosomal RNA (1470 nucleotides) under Vibrio owensii. RNAcentral describes it as "bacterial SSU rRNA". It matches the Rfam family "Bacterial small subunit ribosomal RNA". Lineage: Bacteria; Pseudomonadati; Pseudomonadota; Gammaproteobacteria; Vibrionales; Vibrionaceae. The record is from RNAcentral.
AUUGAACGCUGGCGGCAGGCCUAACACAUGCAAGUCGAGCGGAAACGAGUUAUCUGAACCUUCGGGGGACGAUAACGGCGUCGAGCGGCGGACGGGUGAGUAAUGCCUAGGAAAUUGCCCUGAUGUGGGGGAUAACCAUUGGAAACGAUGGCUAAUACCGCAUAAUGCCUACGGGCCAAAGAGGGGGACCUUCGGGCCUCUCGCGUCAGGAUAUGCCUAGGUGGGAUUAGCUAGUUGGUGAGGUAAUGGCUCACCAAGGCGACGAUCCCUAGCUGGUCUGAGAGGAUGAUCAGCCACACUGGAACUGAGACACGGUCCAGCUCCUACGGGAGGCAGCAGUGGGGAAUAUUGCACAAUGGGCGCAAGCCUGAUGCAGCCAUGCCGCGUGUGUGAAGAAGGCCUUCGGGUUGUAAAGCACUUUCAGUCGUGAGGAAGGUGGUGUAGUUAAUAGCUGCAUUAUUUGACGUUAGCGACAGAAGAAGCACCGGCUAACUCCGUGCCAGCAGCCGCGGUAAUACGGAGGGUGCGAGCGUUAAUCGGAAUUACUGGGCGUAAAGCGCAUGCAGGUGGUUUGUUAAGUCAGAUGUGAAAGCCCGGGGCUCAACCUCGGAAUAGCAUUUGAAACUGGCAGACUAGAGUACUGUAGAGGGGGGUAGAAUUUCAGGUGUAGCGGUGAAAUGCGUAGAGAUCUGAAGGAAUACCGGUGGCGAAGGCGGCCCCCUGGACAGAUACUGACACUCAGAUGCGAAAGCGUGGGGAGCAAACAGGAUUAGAUACCCUGGUAGUCCACGCCGUAAACGAUGUCUACUUGGAGGUUGUGGCCUUGAGCCGUGGCUUUCGGAGCUAACGCGUUAAGUAGACCGCCUGGGGAGUACGGUCGCAAGAUUAAAACUCAAAUGAAUUGACGGGGGCCCGCACAAGCGGUGGAGCAUGUGGUUUAAUUCGAUGCAACGCGAAGAACCUUACCUACUCUUGACAUCCAGAGAACUUUCCAGAGAUGGAUUGGUGCCUUCGGGAACUCUGAGACAGGUGCUGCAUGGCUGUCGUCAGCUCGUGUUGUGAAAUGUUGGGUUAAGUCCCGCAACGAGCGCAACCCUUAUCCUUGUUUGCCAGCGAGUAAUGUCGGGAACUCCAGGGAGACUGCCGGUGAUAAACCGGAGGAAGGUGGGGACGACGUCAAGUCAUCAUGGCCCUUACGAGUAGGGCUACACACGUGCUACAAUGGCGCAUACAGAGGGCAGCAAGCUAGCGAUAGUGAGCGAAUCCCAAAAAGUGCGUCGUAGUCCGGAUUGGAGUCUGCAACUCGACUCCAUGAAGUCGGAAUCGCUAGUAAUCGUGGAUCAGAAUGCCACGGUGAAUACGUUCCCGGGCCUUGUACACACCGCCCGUCACACCAUGGGAGUGGGCUGCAAAAGAAGUAGGUAGUUUAACCUUCGGGAGGACGCUUACCACUUUGUGGUUCAUGACUGG